Long non-coding RNA from Oreochromis niloticus (Nile tilapia), 1042 nucleotides. RefSeq lists it as uncharacterized. The transcript is spliced from 6 exons. Lineage: Eukaryota; Metazoa; Chordata; Actinopteri; Cichliformes; Cichlidae. The record is from RefSeq and is a predicted model, not a curated record.
GCUGUUUCUAUAAUGAUGCAGGUAUGACUCAUCUUCUAUUCUGAGUCAGAGUUGAAGAGGGGUCCUGACCUUUCAUCUCCUUGGUGACCGUUGUGAUGUCACCGCACCUCCUUGCUGUCAUCAUCCUCUUCUGGCUCCCUCUGCCUCUGUCACUAAUCCACACAGAUUCUGCUUGGUUUGGUCAAUGAGCGUCUUGAGUUGUGGGACCUCCAGGAAGCUGAAGCGCUGUGUGAUGGAGUACAGCAGCAGAAAACCAUCAGCCCAGCGAAUGGAAGACUCCAGAGAAGCUACAGAGUGCACAAAAGCAGCUGAGCUCAUAGUCGAGAGCACAAACAUUUGAAAUGAAAAGCAACAAGUUUGUCUAUUACACUCAACUGAAGACGAGCUAUUUUUAGAGCUGGACAAAAGUAGCAGGAGGAGCUUACCUGUUUUCCCAGUGUUCUGAGCUCCCAGAAUAAGAAGUUUAACUGGAACCAUUUUCCUGUUGUAGCCAAGAUUAGUCCAGCGUGUGCCCCGCUGUUUGUCCCUGAUUGACGCCCUGCAGGGAAGAGCAGAGGAUGCUGAGCCAGCUUUGGGAGACAACAAAAGGAACGGCAUAUAACAGGAGCCAUUUGUCUGUGGGAAUGGCGUCCAACUCUGAGCGCAAAUCCUAUUUUGGAUCCAUUGAGAACACACACACAGGCACUCCUUUAACUACUUAAUCACAUCAAAAGCUCGCCUCUAUCUACAGAACUUCUUUGACACCAGAUAUUGAGCCAGAGUCCAGAGUGAUCUCAAGCCUCGCUAUAAUAACUUUGAGACUCAGAUAUACUGCUUCAAUGCUGGAUGCUCAUAUAAAACAUGAAGUCAACCUGUGAGCCAAAAGCUCAGGCUUCACAUAUUGUUUUGUGCACUUGGAUUUACAUGCCAUAGAGAUAGGACGUCCUUAUAUGGUCAUCUCAGUCACAGCACCUGCAGUCUUUUGUUUGUGAUGGGCAGCCAAUCAGAAGAAAGGAAGGGAGACAAGCUAAAACUUGUUUUCAACAGUGGAUCAAGUAAGGAG